RNAcentral lists this ribosomal RNA (234 nucleotides) under uncultured bacterium. RNAcentral describes it as "partial 16S ribosomal RNA". It matches the Rfam family "Bacterial small subunit ribosomal RNA", at positions 118 to 347 of the family's 1533-position model. The record is from RNAcentral.
UGAGCAACCUACCGAAAUGAGGGGGAUAGCCGGCCCAACGACCGGGUAAUACCGCAUACGCUCGAGACCAGGCAUUUGGACUCGAGGAAACCUCCGGGGCAUUUCGAGGGGCUCGCGGCCUAUCAGCUAGUUGGUGAGGUAACGCUCACCAAGGCGACGACGGGUAGCUGGUCUGAGAGGAUGGCCAGCCACAUUGGGACUGAGAUACCGGCCCAGACCUCCGUACGGGAGCAG